Molecule: transfer RNA, 68 nt
Filed under: Pheidole malinsii
Lineage: Eukaryota; Metazoa; Arthropoda; Insecta; Hymenoptera; Formicidae
Description: tRNA-Asn
Source: RNAcentral
UUAAUUAAAACCAAAAUAGAGGUAAAUUAUUGUUAAUAAUUUUAUUGAAUUUAUAUGUUCUAAUUAAU